GCCCUUAGAGUUUGAUUCCUGGCUCAGGACGAACGCUGGCGGCGUGCCUAAUACAUGCAAGUCGAGCGGACAGAUGCGAGCUUGCUCCCUGAUGUUAGCGGCGGACGGGUGAGUAACACGUGGGUAACCUGCCUGUAAGACUGGGAUAACUCCGGGAAACCGGGGCUAAUACCGGAUGGUUGUAUGAACCGCAUGGUUCAAACAUAAAAGGUGGCUUCGGCUACCACUUACAGAUGGACCCGCGGCGCAUUAGCUAGUUGGUGAGGUAACGGCUCACCAAGGCAACGAUGCGUAGCCGACCUGAGAGGGUGAUCGGCCACACUGGGACUGAGACACGGCCCAGACUCCUACGGGAGGCAGCAGUAGGGAAUCUUCCGCAAUGGACGAAAGUCUGACGGAGCAACGCCGCGUGAGUGAUGAAGGUUUUCGGAUCGUAAAGCUCUGUUGUUAGGGAAGAACAAGUACCGUUCGAAUAGGGCGGUACCUUGACGGUACCUAACCAGAAAGCCACGGCUAACUACGUGCCAGCAGCCGCGGUAAUACGUAGGUGGCAAGCGUUGUCCGGAAUUAUUGGGCGUAAAGGGCUCGCAGGCGGUUUCUUAAGUCUGAUGUGAAAGCCCCCGGCUCAACCGGGGAGGGUCAUUGGAAACUGGGGAACUUGAGUGCAGAAGAGGAGAGUGGAAUUCCACGUGUAGCGGUGAAAUGCGUAGAGAUGUGGAGGAACACCAGUGGCGAAGGCGACUCUCUGGUCUGUAACUGACGCUGAGGAGCGAAAGCGUGGGGAGCGAACAGGAUUAGAUACCCUGGUAGUCCACGCCGUAAACGAUGAGUGCUAAGUGUUAGGGGGUUUCCGCCCCUUAGUGCUGCAGCUAACGCAUUAAGCACUCCGCCUGGGAGUCCC
This 901-nucleotide ribosomal RNA is filed under the name Bacillus tequilensis. Its description in RNAcentral is "bacterial SSU rRNA". It matches the Rfam family "Bacterial small subunit ribosomal RNA", at positions 1 to 884 of the family's 1533-position model. Lineage: Bacteria; Bacillati; Bacillota; Bacilli; Caryophanales; Bacillaceae. The record is from RNAcentral.